AUCUAUGGCGAUAUCAGUCUGAAAGUGCCUGAUCUUGUCAGAUCUUAGAAGCCAUCCAGACUCGGGCCUGGUUAGCACUUGUAUGGGAGACCUACUAGGAACCUCAGGUGCUGUAACGG
Molecule: ribosomal RNA, 119 nt
Filed under: Pelobates cultripes (western spadefoot toad)
Lineage: Eukaryota; Metazoa; Chordata; Amphibia; Anura; Pelobatidae
Source: RNAcentral